Lathyrus oleraceus (garden pea) is the source of this 1421-nucleotide long non-coding RNA. RefSeq lists it as uncharacterized. The transcript is spliced from 4 exons. Lineage: Eukaryota; Viridiplantae; Streptophyta; Magnoliopsida; Fabales; Fabaceae. The record is from RefSeq and is a predicted model, not a curated record.
CAUGGUAAACAAUGGAAACGUUGAAGCACGUGCAUAGAAAUCAAAAGCAACUCAGCACAAAAUUGAAAAUGAAAUGCGUUCAUCUCUCUCUUUCUCUCUCAGUUUCCGUCUCCGCCGCGCCGGAGGCUCCCUCGGCGGAGGAGAUACCUAGAAUUCACAAAUUUAACCAUCAAUCUUUCUGUUUCUUCUUCCUCUACACUGAUUCAGUCUCAAAUUUCUCCAAUUUCCAAUCAAUAAACCGAAUCGAACCUAAUUCAGAAUGAACCCUAGAUGAAAAAUUCAUAAAUGAAAUGGCAAUCAAGCUCAAUCUCGAUCCAUAGACAUAGGGUUAAUGCUCCUCCACCUCUAAAUAAUCAUCUGGUAACGACAAUUGAAGCAACUCGGAAGAAUUAAUGAGCUUACCGGAACUACUCAAGGACUGAGAUGCAACAAGAAUUGUGCUUCCAACCACUGAGAGCAUGGAAGAGUGAAGAGGAACUCGUGGUGAGAAUGGGUGAGAUUGAAAGCAUGUGUUGUGGAUUGGUUGCACUGUGUUUCGGAUUGGAUUUGCAGAAAAUCAACUAAGAGCUUCGAAGGUGUGUGAAUUGAAGAGUGAUUGAGGAUUUUAGAAGAAUGAUUUUCUGGUGAGUGAAGGUGAUGGUGAUUUUUGAGGAUGAAUGAAUUCUGAUGAAGAUGAUAGUUUUGAUGAAUGGAUUUUGAGUCCCCUUGAUGAGUGGAGAUGAAUGAUGAUGUAUAACUCAAAGUUUGAUUUUUGGGUGAAUCAAUGGAUUUGGUGAAUCGAAGGAUGUUAUGAUUAGCGUGAUGAAUGAAGCCUUAUAGAAGUUAGGAGUUGGUUCUGUUAUAGGUUAGUUGAAGUUUGUUGGACAGUUGGAAUUUAGUUGUGAAUUUGUUAUGAUCUGUUAUGAUUUUGUUCUGAAGUUAGUUACAAUUUGGAAAUUCAGUUAGAUAUUGGUUAGGGAUUUGUGUGAAGGGUGGUUUUGUUAGGAUUGUUGAAGUUUGUUGAUAGAGGGAAUGGUUCUUCAAUUCGUUUGAAGAUUGGAGAGAGUGAGGAAGAGGUUCUCAGUCCUUGGAGAGUGAGGUUUAGUUAUGUUACUAAUUCUGUUACAAGCCCUUUCUUGAGAAGUUUGGCCAGCUUUUUGUGAGAAGUUGUGGGCAUGGUUUUGGGAUUUGCUUGAACCUGGCUAGGAUGCUUUGGAGUACAUCAUGUGGAAUUGGAAUUGAUUAGAUUUGGCUAUCGGAUCAUGUUGGAUAUUACGGAAUUUAUUGUAAAUUUUGUAAUUUGAAAUACAUUGAAAAAUAGGAAGGAUGUAUUAUGGUUUUGUUUGAAAUGAAUGUGUUUGAAAAUGAAAAUGAAAAUGUAUGCAUGGUUAUGUAUUGGAAUUGUAAUGGAAAUGUGUAUUAAAAAAUAGUUGAAUGAUAAA